This 497-nucleotide ribosomal RNA is filed under the name uncultured bacterium. RNAcentral describes it as "partial 16S ribosomal RNA". It matches the Rfam family "Bacterial small subunit ribosomal RNA", at positions 28 to 507 of the family's 1533-position model. The record is from RNAcentral.
GAUGAACGCUGGCGGCGUGCCUAAUACAUGCAAGUCGAGCGAACGGACGAGAAGCUUGCUUCUCUGAUGUUAGCGGCGGACGGGUGAGUAACACGUGGACAACCUACCUAUAAGACUGGGAUAACUUCGGGAAACCGGAGCUAAUACCGGAUGAUAUUUUGAACCGCAUGGUUCAAAAGUGAAAGACGGUCUUGCUGUCACUUAUAGAUGGAUCCGCGCUGCAUUAGCUAGUUGGUAAGGUAACGGCUUACCAAGGCAACGAUGCAUAGCCGACCUGAGAGGGUGAUCGGCCACACUGGAACUGAGACACGGUCCAGACUCCUACGGGAGGCAGCAGUAGGGAAUCUUCCGCAAUGGGCGAAAGCCUGACGGAGCAACGCCGCGUGAGUGAUGAAGGUCUUCGGAUCGUAAAACUCUGUUAUUAGGGAAGAACAUAUGUGUAAGUAACUGUGCACAUCUUGACGGUACCUAAUCAGAAAGCCACGGCUAACUACGUG